Molecule: long non-coding RNA, 636 nt
Organism: Dermacentor albipictus
Lineage: Eukaryota; Metazoa; Arthropoda; Arachnida; Ixodida; Ixodidae
Source: RefSeq, a predicted model, not a curated record
CAUGCCAUCCCACUUAAAAAUGCCGAUAGCAGAUUGCACUUACGGCAAGUGACCACGGAAGGCAGCCAUCUGCAUCACUAUGCGCACUAUGCUCUCUCUAUUGAUCUUAUAUGGUCUUGUCGUAAUUGCUAACAGUAUAGAAGAAUGCAGUCGACCAAGGACCACGUGCCUUGCUAAGGAUGUGUGUGCCCUUCUUGGUGGCACAAAUCGAGGCCUCUGCUUUCGAGGCGUCUGUUGCGACAAAACUCACGUCAGUGCGAAACAGUGCACAACUCUAGGCACCACGUGUAUGGCAAGAAAAAUGUGCAAGCUUUCGAAUGGGAAGAUUCGUGGCAGGUGUUUUAAAGGUGUUUGCUGCAAGAAACAAAAGAAAAAUUCCUGCGAGGCAUUUGGAGGCAAGUGUCAUUCCGUGAACUACACCUGCAACAGCUUGAAACACACCAGCAAAAAGUGUGGAAGAAAUAAAAAGUGCUGCAUAUCGGGUGAACUAGCCGAAUAGGCUCAUCAUCGUACUGUCCUUACUGCUGAAAAUACAAGAAUGUAGCCAUGGAAUGUCGAUUCAGGCACGACAUAUUGCUCGAUAUCAGUUUUCUAUAAUUUCUUAUCGAUGAAAAGAGAUGCUUGCAAAAUAAAAAA